UCAUCAUUUCUCUUCCUUUCUAAAACUCACAAACAUGACAGAAAAUUAUAAUCCAUUUUCAUCCAUUCCUUUUCUAUACUUUCCCUUUCCAUCCCAUCUCACAUACAACAUUAAUAUGCAACUUUUGUGCAAUGUUUUCAUAUUCGGAUCUGUUAUCAAACCGAAAUAAUUGCCGGAUGAAUGGGUUGCUGAUUUGACCACUGGGUUC
RNAcentral lists this long non-coding RNA (208 nucleotides) under Panax ginseng (ginseng). RNAcentral's name for it is "long non-coding RNA (PGIN_LNC001254)". The record is from RNAcentral. Lineage: Eukaryota; Viridiplantae; Streptophyta; Magnoliopsida; Apiales; Araliaceae.